UACGUAGGUGGCAAGCGUUAUCCGGAAUUACUGGGCGUAAAGCGCACGCAGGCGGCUAGUCAAGUUCGACGUGAAAGCUCCCGGCUUAACUGGGAGAGGUCGUUGAAAACUGGUUAGCUUGAGGCAAUGAGAGGGGUGUAGAAUUCCCGGUGUAGUGGUGGAAUGCGUAGAUAUCGGGAGGAAUACCAGUGGCGAAGGCGGCUUCCUGGCCUGUUCUUGACGCUGAGGCGCGAAAGCUAGGGGAUCAAACGGG
This 253-nucleotide ribosomal RNA is filed under the name uncultured bacterium. Its description in RNAcentral is "partial 16S ribosomal RNA". It matches the Rfam family "Bacterial small subunit ribosomal RNA", at positions 524 to 776 of the family's 1533-position model. The record is from RNAcentral.